UACGUAGGCAGCGAGCGUUGUUCGGAGUUACUGGGCGUAAAGAGUGCGUAGGCGGUUUUCUAAGUUUGGUGUGAAAUUUCCCGGCUUAACUGGGAGGGUGCGCCGAAGACUGGAAGGCUUGAGUAUGGGAGAGGUAAGCGGAAUUCCUGGUGUAGCGGUGAAAUGCGUAGAUAUCAGGAGGAACACCUGCGGUGUAGACGGCUUACUGGACCAUCACUGACGCUGAGGCACGAAAGCGUGGGUAGCAAACAGG
Molecule: ribosomal RNA, 253 nt
Filed under: uncultured bacterium
Lineage: Bacteria
Description: partial 16S ribosomal RNA
Rfam family: Bacterial small subunit ribosomal RNA
Source: RNAcentral